CAGGGAUUUCUGGGAAAGGCAGGAAAUCUGGAAUGAGUCACAAAAGAUUUGAGAAUGAGAUGGAAGAGCAGACUUGAGGGGAAGAGAUGAAAAGGAGCCUUCUUCCCCAAGUGACUGAGUUCCAUCCCACCCUCCCACUAGAAGUGUCCUCUGCUCCCUCUUUUUCCUUUAGUGGCACAGGAACUAACCUCACCAGCAUCAAAGUGUAUGGAUGCAACUGGAACAUACUUACCUUGUGCUUAAGAUACUUUCCCAGCUUCAGAUCAGCUACCAUCAGGAACAAUACAGUAACUGUCUGGAUCCAGAAGUUCAUGACCAGUACACUACUUCAGUGGAAACAAAUAGCCAUUGAUGUCCUUCACUCUGGGAAGGCAACAGUACCUAAGACAGAAAUCCAGGGAAAACCAGCCAAAAUGUGUAAGACCACAUCAGGUGUCAUCUUUGUAUUUGCAUUCAGAACCCAUUUUGGUGGUGGGAAGACACCUGGCUUUGGCAUGAUUCCUGGGAUCACACAAAGAAAAAUGAACCCAUAGACAUACAAGGUAUGUCCUGUAUGAGAGGAAAAUACCUCAAGAAAACAGGGAAAGGAAUGUAAGAAUAGGGUAAAGAAAGAGGGGCUGCAGAGGCCAGUACUGGUGCUGCAAAAAGUGAGUUGGAAGAACAUUUACUCCUGGACAACAGGAGUAAAUGUUCUUCAGUAACUUCAUCUGUGGUGAUUGUGCAGAUUUUUCAUGAUGGGAUUAAUAAGCUAAGAACUUUUAAAAAAGUCAAAAAUACAUCUGGGAGAAUGGAAGGACCUGGGCCGGGGGUGGGGGGGUCAACUGAUUCUUCUAGCUGCGAUUAAGGAAGAUGAGCCCCAUUCUGGAACAAUUAUUCCCUCUUCCAAGGGGGCACUGAAUGCCUUGCUGAAGAUGGGUCUGAGGGAAAACCCCAUAUUUGACAAGUU
Molecule: long non-coding RNA, 946 nt
Organism: Phyllostomus hastatus (greater spear-nosed bat)
Lineage: Eukaryota; Metazoa; Chordata; Mammalia; Chiroptera; Phyllostomidae
Exons: 3
Source: RefSeq, a predicted model, not a curated record